GAACAUGGCUUAGUGGUCAGAGCUAUUGGACAGUUUCCAAGAGGUGUGGGCUCGAGUCCCAUUGUGAUCA
Molecule: transfer RNA, 70 nt
Filed under: Heliconius melpomene (postman butterfly)
Lineage: Eukaryota; Metazoa; Arthropoda; Insecta; Lepidoptera; Nymphalidae
Description: tRNA HMEL006877
Rfam family: tRNA
About the family: Transfer RNA (tRNA) molecules are approximately 80 nucleotides in length.
Source: RNAcentral